This 274-nucleotide long non-coding RNA is filed under the name Mus musculus (house mouse). Its description in RNAcentral is "long non-coding RNA chr9:123762502-123762776". Lineage: Eukaryota; Metazoa; Chordata; Mammalia; Rodentia; Muridae. The record is from RNAcentral.
AAGUUUGACAAUGGCCAAAAACAAAUUAAAAUGGCAGAAGUCCAGGAAUGUAUUUCACAUAGUCAGCCAAAAAUCCUUCAAGGUUAAAAAAACGAGGUAAAACUACUAGUAUUAAGAAGAUAAACAAUAUGAAGGUUCAAAAGUUAACAGAGUGAACAGGGCUUUUGUAAAUAUACUGAAGGAACUUGCAAACUUUUCAAAGGCCUUUCUUUUAAAUCUAUGCAGAAAGAGCGGCAGCACCAUGAAAACAAACCAGUUAAUAUUGACAAAGCAG